UUCAGUGCCCUGCGUGCACACCCUCCAUGUUGGCUUUUGCAGUGGAUGGGAUCCGUAAACUAUACGGCUUUAGGUCCAGUAAUGGGUGUCAGAUGUUCAGCAGUGGAUGACAGGACCAACCAAUCAAAAUGACUUGCAGGACGCCAUUGAUGGACUCUUUUUGAGCAUUAAGCAGCAAACCCUUCAGCUGUAUCGUCAGACUGGCAGUGCUGAGGCAUUUACGGAGACGGGAAGUGAGGGUCUUCCCUGCGUGCUCAAGAGAAGAUUGCACAAAGUUCAAGCUUAGCAGGCUGCAGCUGGUCUGACAUAUUCUGGAACGGCAACAAUGUCUUUGGAUGACUCCUCCUCUGAAGAGGAAAACAUCAAUCAAUCAAUCAUUGUUUAUUGUCAUUACCAGAGUACAGGUACAAGGCAACGAAAUGGAAAGAACAGUUUGGUUUCAAAGAUUACAGCAUAACAUGAGGGGAGGGAG
Molecule: long non-coding RNA, 472 nt
Organism: Limanda limanda (common dab)
Lineage: Eukaryota; Metazoa; Chordata; Actinopteri; Pleuronectiformes; Pleuronectidae
Exons: 3
Source: RefSeq, a predicted model, not a curated record